This 426-nucleotide ribosomal RNA is filed under the name uncultured cyanobacterium. RNAcentral's name for it is "bacterial SSU rRNA". It matches the Rfam family "Bacterial small subunit ribosomal RNA", at positions 356 to 795 of the family's 1533-position model. Lineage: Bacteria; Bacillati; Cyanobacteriota. The record is from RNAcentral.
GGGGAAUUUUCCGCAAUGGGCGAAAGCCUGACGGAGCAAUACCGCGUGAGGGAGGAAGGCUCUUGGGUUGUAAACCUCUUUUCUCAGGGUAAGAAGAAAUGACGGUACCUGAGGAAUAAGCAUCGGCUAACUCCGUGCCAGCAGCCGCGGUAAUACGGAGGAUGCAAGCGUUAUCCGGAAUGAUUGGGCGUAAAGGGUCCGCAGGUGGCAUUGGAAGUCUGCUGUUAAAGAGUCUAGCUCAACUAGAUAAGAGCAGUGGAAACUACAAAGCUAGAGUUUGGUCGGGGCAGAAGGAAUUCCUGGUGUAGCGGUGAAAUGCGUAGAUAUCAGGAAGAACACCAGUGGCGAAGGCGUUCUGCUAGGCCGAGACUGACACUGAGGGACGAAAGCUAGGGGAGCGAAUGGGAUUAGAUACCCCAGNUAGUC